GAUGAAGAACGCAGCGAAAUGCGAUAAGUAAUGUGAAUUGCAGAAUUCAGUGAAUCAUCGAAUCUUUGAACGCACAUUGCGCCCGCCAGUAUUCUGGCGGGCAUGCCUGUUCGAGCGUCAUUUCAACCAUCAAGCCCCCGGCUUGUGUUGGGGACCUGCGGCUGCCGCAGGCCCUGAAAAGCAGUGGCGGGCUCGCUGUCACACCGAGCGUAGUAGCAUACAUCUCGCUCUGGGCGUGCUGCGGGCUCCGGCCGUUAAACCACCUUCAUAACCCAAGGUUGACCUCGGAUCAGGUAGGAAGACCCGCUGAACUUAAGCAUAUCAAUAAGCGGAGGA
RNAcentral lists this unclassified non-coding RNA (336 nucleotides) under soil metagenome. Its description in RNAcentral is "partial contains 5.8S ribosomal RNA, internal transcribed spacer 2, and large subunit ribosomal RNA". The stretch from base 1 to 120 matches the Rfam family "5.8S ribosomal RNA", at positions 35 to 154 of the family's 154-position model. The record is from RNAcentral.